GACGAACGCUGGCGGCGUGCUUAACACAUGCAAGUCGAACGGAAAGGCCCUGCUUUUGUGGGGUGCUCGAGUGGCGAACGGGUGAGUAACACGUGAGUAACCUGCCCUUGACUUUGGGAUAACUUCAGGAAACUGGGGCUAAUACCGGAUAGGAGCUCCUGCUGCAUGGUGGGGGUUGGAAAGUUUCGGCGGUUGGGGAUGGACUCGCGGCUUAUCAGCUUGUUGGUGGGGUAGUGGCUUACCAAGGCUUCGACGGGUAGCCGGCCUGAGAGGGUGACCGGCCACAUUGGGACUGAGAUACGGCCCAGACUCCUACGGGAGGCAGCAGUGGGGAAUAUUGCACAAUGGGCGGAAGCCUGAUGCAGCAACGCCGCGUGCGGGAUGACGGCCUUCGGGUGGUAAACCGCUUUCGCCUGUGACGAAGCGUGAGUGACGGGAAUGGGUAAAGAAGCACCGGCUAACUACGU
This 467-nucleotide ribosomal RNA is filed under the name uncultured bacterium. RNAcentral describes it as "partial 16S ribosomal RNA". It matches the Rfam family "Bacterial small subunit ribosomal RNA", at positions 28 to 506 of the family's 1533-position model. The record is from RNAcentral.